RNAcentral lists this ribosomal RNA (439 nucleotides) under uncultured bacterium. RNAcentral describes it as "partial 16S ribosomal RNA". It matches the Rfam family "Bacterial small subunit ribosomal RNA", at positions 339 to 795 of the family's 1533-position model. The record is from RNAcentral.
CUACGGGGGGCACCAGUGAGGAAUAUUGCACAAUGGGGGGAACCCUGAUGCAGCAACGCCGCGUGGAGGAUGACGCAUUUCGGUGUGUAAACUCCUUUUAUAUGUCAAGAAAAUGACGGUAGCAUACGAAUAAGCACCGGCUAACUCCGUGCCAGCAGCCGCGGUAAUACGGAGGGUGCCAGCGUUACUCGGAAUCACUGGGCGUAAAGGACGCGUAGGCGGGUUGGAAAGUCAGGUGUGAAAUCCUACAGCUUAACUGGAGAACUGCACUUGAAACUUCUAAUCUAGAGUAUGGGAGGGGGAGAUGGAAUUAGUGGUGUAGGGGUAAAAUCCGUAGAUAUCACUAGGAAUACCUAAAGCGAAGGCGAUCUCCUGGAACAUUACUGACGCUAAGGCGUGAAAGCGUGGGGAGCAAACAGGAUUAGAUACCCUCGUAGUC